GUAGGGAAUAUUGCGCAAUGGGGGAAACCCCGACGCAGCGACGCCGCGUGAGUGAUGAAGGCCUUCGGGUCGUAAAGCUCUGUUGCAGGGGAAUAAAAAAAUGAAGGUACCCUGUGAGGAAGGAUCGGCUAACUUCGUGCCAGCAGCCGCGGUAAGACGAGGGAUCCUAGCGUUGCUCGGAAUCAUUGGGCGUAAAGAGGGCGUAGGUGGCUUGGUAAGUCAGGUGUGAAAGCACAGGGCUCAACCCUGGAAGUGCAUUUGAUACUGCUGAGCUUGAGUGUCGGAGAGGUUACCGGAAUACCUGGUGUAGUGGUGAAAUACGUAGAUAGCAGGUGGAACACCGGAGGCGAAGGCGGGUAACUGGACGAACACUGACACUGAGGCCCGAAAGCGUGGGGAUCAAACAGGAUUAGAAACCCCGGUAGUCC
Molecule: ribosomal RNA, 428 nt
Filed under: uncultured bacterium
Lineage: Bacteria
Description: partial 16S ribosomal RNA
Rfam family: Bacterial small subunit ribosomal RNA
Source: RNAcentral